UCCUAUGUGGUAUAGUGGUUUGAACAUUGGACUAUGACUCUGGAGACCAGGGUUCGAAUCUUUGCUCAGACA
This 72-nucleotide transfer RNA is filed under the name Phrynosoma platyrhinos (Desert horned lizard). Its description in RNAcentral is "tRNA-OTHER". Lineage: Eukaryota; Metazoa; Chordata; Lepidosauria; Squamata; Phrynosomatidae. The record is from RNAcentral.